This 229-nucleotide unclassified non-coding RNA is filed under the name uncultured fungus. Its description in RNAcentral is "sequence contains ITS1, 5.8S rRNA gene". Lineage: Eukaryota; Fungi. The record is from RNAcentral.
ACAAUAAUCUAUCCACACUCGUGUUUGGUUGGUGUCGUUGUGUUAUCAUCGUCUUCAUCAUGAUUCAUUAUUCAUUCAUCUUCAUUCCUCUGGAGUGUAGGUGGUAUGUAUAUAGUGAAGAAAGAGGGAGAAGGUGGUCGCAUGCGCCCAGCCAGUAACAACACACAACACACACAUUCAUACUUUGACAACUAAUGGAGAACCAAUUAUUAUCAAUAAUAUGUUGAAA